AACGCAUAUUGCGCCCUCUGGUACUCCGGGGGGCACACCUGUCCGAGCGCCAUUUGAACCCUUCAAGCUUCGCUUGGCGUUGGGCGAUGUCCGCAGGGGACCCGCCCGCAACCCGUAGGCGGCCGCGGCCCGGCCCUCCAGCGUAGCAAGCCUAAGAAGCAUCCGCUGGAGGGGAAGGCGCGGCCCGCCCCCUUGGAAACGGCCCCUUCAGGGGGGUUUGUUCGUAAAAAGGUUGGCCUCGGAUCAGGUGGGGAUACCCGCUGAACUUAA
RNAcentral lists this unclassified non-coding RNA (270 nucleotides) under uncultured fungus. RNAcentral's name for it is "partial contains 5.8S ribosomal RNA, internal transcribed spacer 2, and large subunit ribosomal RNA". The record is from RNAcentral. Lineage: Eukaryota; Fungi.